GUGAAGCUGGAUUCGCAGUAAUCGCGCAUCAGCCAUGGCGCGGUGAAUACGUUCCCGGGCCUUGUACACACCGCCCGUCAAGCCAUGGAAGCCGGGGGCGCUUGAAGUGCGUUGCCGCAAGGCGCGCCCUAGAGCGAAACCGGUGACUGGGGCUAAGUCGUAACAAGGUAAC
Molecule: ribosomal RNA, 172 nt
Filed under: uncultured bacterium
Lineage: Bacteria
Description: partial 16S ribosomal RNA
Rfam family: Bacterial small subunit ribosomal RNA
Source: RNAcentral